GUGAUGCUCCCACCUCAGCCUACCAAGUAGCUAGGACUACAGCUUGGGAAAGUUCCUAGACAUCAGGAAAUCAGCAUGUUCUCAAGCAAAUACACUUGAUAGACAUUCAUCUCAGCAGGAUAAAUAUCUACAGGAGAAAAUCAUGAAGCUACCAGAAUGUGGCCAAAGGGAAAAAUAUCCUAUGAUCAUUCCAGAUUUUUUGUGUUGGUUCUCCUCUCCUAUUCCCAUCCCAUCCCUGGAGAAAACAAUAAGGCAAAGUUUCCCGUUUUUUUUUUUUUUUUUUUUUGAGACAGGAUCUCCCUCCGCCACCUAGACUGGAGUGUAGUAAGCCUAUCUCCGCUCACUGCAGCCUCAAGCAGUCCUCCAACCUAAGCCUCCCAAGUAGCUGGGACUACAGAGACAUACCACUACGCUAAUUUUUUAGUUUUUGUUUGUUUGUUUGUUUUUGUAGAGACAGGGUCUCACUAUGUUGCCCAGGCUGGUCUUGAACCCCUGGGCUCAAAUGAUCCUCCUUCCUCGGCCUCCCAAAAUUUUGGGAUUACAGACAUGAGCGACCACAUCCAGUGCAAAUUUUUUUAUACCAAGGCAAAGAUGAUCAUGCAAAAGAAACUAAUGAAUGAACAAGCCGUUGGAACAAAAACAAUUUGUUAAUGCUUCCCUGGCCUUACAAAUACUGGAGUGGUAAUGGGUGGAAUCCAUUCUAUUAAAAUAGAAUGGAUUUUAAAUGUGUGGGGGUUUAGAUAUUCUUCUACCACCUCUGAUUUUUCUGGAAACCAUUACAGUUCCACAAUCCUUUUCCCUCCAGGUGAUCUGGGUCACUUUCAUCACUUUCAUCACUAUCAGUUCAUCCACUAUUUGCACCAUUUGGCCAGCUAAGAGUUGGCUAAAAGUGCAGCCAGGUGUGUCGUAAUGAUGCAAGACUAUAGCAGUAUAAUCCCCAUGAUGCAUUCACAGGAUGCAUUACAGAGAAGGGGAAGGAAAGAGUGCAAUUCCAAGAUGAACUUUGACUUGCAACCCACACUCCCUUCAACAAACAGCUUUAAGUAAAUCUUGGAAAUAUUGUUCAAAAUACAUGUGACAAAACGUGACCAUCUUUCCUCUGUUACGUGGCGGGUAUGAUCCUUUCUGUAUUCCUAACAUCUCUCAAUUUGGGUUGAAUGUGCAGUCCCUAAGUCAUAAGCAAGUGCCAGUCACCACUUAUGGUUGCUCCGAAGAGAAAAUUAGACCUUGCUUUAGUUUUUUCUUCCAAAAGAACAACUUUUCAUUUCUUAACCAUUGUCAGCAAUUUCCAUAGGCUGGAUUGACUUACCUUCAUGAUGUUUGGAAGUUAAGACAAUGUAUUUGGCACCAGAGGCCUGAAAAAUAUCUGCCCACUGGUUGGCAUUAAAAAAUUUUGCUGUAAA
Molecule: long non-coding RNA, 1403 nt
Organism: Homo sapiens (human)
Lineage: Eukaryota; Metazoa; Chordata; Mammalia; Primates; Hominidae
Exons: 2
Source: RefSeq, a predicted model, not a curated record